Molecule: transfer RNA, 75 nt
Filed under: Chloroflexota bacterium
Lineage: Bacteria; Bacillati; Chloroflexota
Description: Chloroflexi bacterium tRNA-Lys
Rfam family: tRNA
About the family: Transfer RNA (tRNA) molecules are approximately 80 nucleotides in length. Their secondary structure includes four short double-helical elements and three loops (D, anti-codon, and T loops).
Source: RNAcentral
GGGCCUCUAGCUCAAUGGUAGAGCAGCUGACUCUUAAUCAGCCGGUUCAGGGUUCGAGCCCCUGGGGGCUCACCA